This 742-nucleotide long non-coding RNA is filed under the name Strigops habroptila (Kakapo). RNAcentral describes it as "lncRNA (ENSSHBG00005001349.1)". The record is from RNAcentral. Lineage: Eukaryota; Metazoa; Chordata; Aves; Psittaciformes; Psittacidae.
AAACAAAUUAGGACGUUCCUUUAUAUAAAAGGGACAAGAGGAUCUAAAGUGAAUCUAAAUGAAGAACACAGAAUGAUAUUAGAGGAAUAAGCAGUUCCAGUAGUUAAAUACUUGCCACACUGAAUCUGACCUAGCUUUUAUGUGCCUGUGCAAACUUUUUGGCAGUAGGUUUUUUACAGCACUGUGUACACCAACAAUCCCUUUCAAACACUGUUUUUUGUUGUUGUUCUCCUCAGCUGUGAAGAUUUCCCACAGGCAGCACUUCUGAGAAGGUCUGUAGCUGUAGUGAGGAAUCCAGAGGAAAAAAGGAGCCCUGCGAGAAUAAGCAUUGUAUGGCAAAUCUGGGCCCACGACCUGGACCCUAAAUUUCACUGGGCAGAUAGGCACAUCUUGGGGUACUGCAGCAGCUAUAUCACUUCUCCAGGCCUAGCACUUCUGGAAUGAGAAGGAGCUGUCAGGAAUAAUCUGGAAGAGAAGAGGCGUACUGGAAAGUGCCUACUUACCUUUGCUGAGCUGCUGAGAUGUAUAGAGAGCUUCCUGGUGGCAAAAUGAGGAGCCAUAGCUCUGCUCUGAAUAGUGCACUAUUGCCAAAGAGACAUCAAUUCCCUUUCUCCACCACCACCUUCCUAUGAAUGAACUGGUGAUAAAGAGAAAAGGUGCUAAGCCCAUUAUACGAAACACCAAAGGUCUGGUUAGGUCAUAACACAUAUCCAUGACAAACUGAAUGAAGAUUACAACAGAA